CCUACGGGCGGCAGCAGUGGGGAAUAUUGCACAAUGGGGGAAACCCUGAUGCAGCGACGCCGCGUGAGCGAUGAAGUAUUUCGGUAUGUAAAGCUCUAUCAGCAGGGAAGAAAAUGACGGUACCUGACUAAGAAGCCACGGCUAACGACGUGCCAGCAGCCGCGGUAAUACGGAGGGGGCAAGCGUUAUCCGGCUUUACUGGGUGUAAAGGGAGCGUAGGCGGUCCAGCAAGCCAGAUGUGAAAGCCCGGGGCUCAACCCCGGGACUGCAGUUGGAACUGUAAGGCUAGAGUACAGGGGGGGCAGGCGGAAUUCCUAGUGUAGCGGUGAAAUGCGUAGAUAUUAGGAGGAACACCGGUGGCGCAGGCGGCCUGCUGGACUGUGCCUGACGUUGAGGCCCGAAUGCGUGGGGAGCAAACAGGAUUAGAUACCCGAGUAGUC
This 440-nucleotide ribosomal RNA is filed under the name uncultured bacterium. RNAcentral describes it as "partial 16S ribosomal RNA". It matches the Rfam family "Bacterial small subunit ribosomal RNA", at positions 338 to 795 of the family's 1533-position model. The record is from RNAcentral.